AGUUCAAGCUGCAGCCUUUGCUGAUGACGGUCAGGAGGCCAACUGCGCCUGGGGAGCAGCGGGAUCCGGGGAUGGGGCUGCCCUGUGUGCUCACCCACCUGACCUGCCCCAGGCCUCCUCCUGUCCCCACCCUGCCUAAAGCUCUAGAGUUCCCCUGCGCUGGCCUCAGGAUUGCAAGCAGUGCAAGGGCCUGGUCCCGGCCCUGGUCUCAGCCCUAUCCAGAUGUCCAAGGCAGGUGGACCACCCGCUGAGCGUCAGAAAUGGGGCCUCCUCCCCUCCCACGCCCUCCGUCGCCACCCAGCUCUGUGAAAGCCCAAGUCUGGCUCCCAGACACCACCGAGUGCCGAGUCCUCCAGCCUGUCUAGAGCGUCCCGGAAGUAGCUGGGGGAAGACCAGGAGGCGCGGACUGGAGGAGAACAGAGUGGCCGGCACUUCCGGCCGGCGGCGGCUGUUCUGGGUGAGCAGGUCCCUGAAGUGCUGUGCUGGAGAUACCGUUGUGGACCCUGGAGAGGCACCUGCUGCUUAUGCGGUAAAAGCUUUACCACCCCAAACCUGGUCAGUUUGAGGGGAG
This 571-nucleotide small RNA is filed under the name Pongo abelii (Sumatran orangutan). RNAcentral's name for it is "processed transcript". Lineage: Eukaryota; Metazoa; Chordata; Mammalia; Primates; Hominidae. The record is from RNAcentral.